CCAACAAAAUAAUCACUCAACAAAAUAAUUACCAAACAAAAUUACCAACAAUUAUCAUAAAUUAAUUAUCAAAAAAUAAUUACCAACUAAACGGAGAGGGUGACCACCGACCACCGAUAGCAGCGACCACUGAUUAGAUCUGGACCGAUAGAAGACGGAGACGAAGCUGGGGAGACAGACGGAGACGAAGCUGCUGUAAUGUCGGGAAGGCUGAGACGAAGUGAGUUGCUGCUGGAGUGAACAAAAGGAAAAGGAGUUGGAGUUCAUGUGGGAGUCCAGGAGAAGGAGUUGAAAAUAGAAAGGAAAAGGAGUUGAAAGGGAGUGCUGGAACGGCUAGAACGGAUCUGUGAAAGCGAAGAAGGAAAAUGAUUUGAAAGGGAGUGCUGGAACGGAUCUGUGAAAGUGAGUGGAAGAAGGAAAAGGAUUUGAAAGGGAGUGCUGGAACGGCUGGAACGGAUCUGUGAAAGCGAAGAAGGAAAAGGAUUUGAGAAGGGAGUGCUGGAACGGAUCUGUGAAAGCGAGUGGAAGAAGGAAAAGAAUUUGAAAGUGAGUGCUUUUUCACA
This 563-nucleotide long non-coding RNA is filed under the name Citrus maxima (pomelo). RNAcentral describes it as "long non-coding RNA (CMAX_LNC000459)". The record is from RNAcentral. Lineage: Eukaryota; Viridiplantae; Streptophyta; Magnoliopsida; Sapindales; Rutaceae.